GGGCCCGCACAAGCGGUGGAGCAUGUGGUUUAAUUCGACGCAACGCGAAGAACCUUACCAGCUCUUGACAUGCUUGGUUAUCGGAUCCGGAGACGGAUCUUUCAGUUCGGCUGGACCUUGCACAGGUGCUGCAUGGCUGUCGUCAGCUCGUGUCGUGAGAUGUUGGUUAAGUCCCGCAACGAGCGCAACCCUCGCCUUCAGUUGCCAUCAGUUCGGCUGGGCACUCUGGAGGAACUGCCGGUGACAAACCGGAGGAAGGUGGGGAUGACGUCAAGUCCUCAUGGCCCUUAUGAGCUGGGCUACACACGUGCUACAAUGGCGGUGACAAUGGGCUGCAACGGGCGACCCCGCGCUAA
Molecule: ribosomal RNA, 356 nt
Filed under: uncultured bacterium
Lineage: Bacteria
Description: bacterial SSU rRNA
Rfam family: Bacterial small subunit ribosomal RNA
Source: RNAcentral